This 433-nucleotide unclassified non-coding RNA is filed under the name soil metagenome. Its description in RNAcentral is "partial contains 5.8S ribosomal RNA, internal transcribed spacer 2, and large subunit ribosomal RNA". The stretch from base 1 to 120 matches the Rfam family "5.8S ribosomal RNA", at positions 35 to 154 of the family's 154-position model. The record is from RNAcentral.
GAUGAAGAACGUAGCGAAAUGCGAUAAGUAAUGUGAAUUGCAGAAUUCAGUGAAUCAUCGAAUCUUUGAACGCAUAUUGCGCUCUCUGGUAUUCCGGAGAGCAUGCUUGUUUGAGUAUCAGUAAACACCUCAACUCCCUUUUCUUUUUUGAAAUGGGAGCUGGACUUGAGUGAUCCCAACACUUUUCUCACUGGAAAGUGGCGGGUCACUUGAAAUGCAGGUGCAGCUGGACUUUUCUCUGAGCUAUAAGCAUAUCUAUUUAGUCUGCCUAAAAAACAGAUUAUUACCUUUGCUGCAGCUAACAUAAAGGAGAUGAGUUCUUGUGCUGACUGAUGCAGGAUUCACAGAGACAGCUUUGCGGCUGACUUUGUAAACUCGAUCUCAAAUCAAGUAAGACUACCCGCUGAACUUAAGCAUAUCAAUAAGCGGAGGA